AAAAAGUCAUAACAUUGCACUUCGAGGCAUUAAGUUGUAACAUAUUUGCACAGCACCAUGACUGAAAGCUAUUGAGAUCAGAUUGCAAACGAGAGUGAAAUGAAAUGUCCUUAUACUGGACACAGAGUUAACAUCAUCCGCAUACAUAAGUACUCGAGAAUUUGUUAAUACAGAAGGCAGGUCAUUAAUAAAGAGUGUGAAAGGUAAGGGGCCUAAAUGGCUACCCUGUGGUACUCCAGAAGUUACCAUAACAGGUAAAGAUAAGGAGUUUUUGAAAAGGACCCUUUGAGACCUAGAACACAGGUAGCUAGAAAUCCAUCUCAACAGAUUGGGCGGAAACCCUAGAAGGUUGAGCUUUUGUGCAAGAAGAGAAUGGUUUACGGAAUCGAAUGCCUUACUGAAGUCAGUGUAAAUAACAUCCG
RNAcentral lists this long non-coding RNA (422 nucleotides) under Drosophila guanche. Lineage: Eukaryota; Metazoa; Arthropoda; Insecta; Diptera; Drosophilidae. The record is from RNAcentral.